GAUGAACGCUGGCGGCGUGCCUAAUACAUGCAAGUCGAGCGAACGGACGAGAAGCUUGCUUCUCUGAUGUUAGCGGCGGACGGGUGAGUAACACGUGGAUAACCUACCUAUCAGACUGGGAUAACUUCGGGAAACCGGAGCUAAUACCGGAUGAUAUUUUGAACCGCAUGGUUCAAAAGUGAAAGACGGUCUUGCUGUCACUUAUAGAUGGAUCCGCGCUGCAUUAGCUAGUUGGUAAGGUAACGGCUUACCAAGGCAACGAUGCAUAGCCGACCUGAGAGGGUGAUAGGCCACACUGGAACUGAGACACGGUCCAGACUCCUACGGGAGGCAGCAGUAGGGAAUCUUCCGCAAUGGGCGAAGGCCUGACGGAGCAACGCCGCGUGAGUGAUGAAGGUCUUCGGAUCGUAAAACUCUGUUAUUAGGGAAGAACAUAUGUGUAAGUAACUGUGCACAUCGUGACGGUACCUAAUCAGAAAGCCACGGCUAACUACGUG
RNAcentral lists this ribosomal RNA (497 nucleotides) under uncultured bacterium. RNAcentral describes it as "partial 16S ribosomal RNA". It matches the Rfam family "Bacterial small subunit ribosomal RNA", at positions 28 to 507 of the family's 1533-position model. The record is from RNAcentral.